Molecule: ribosomal RNA, 993 nt
Filed under: Staphylococcus aureus
Lineage: Bacteria; Bacillati; Bacillota; Bacilli; Caryophanales; Staphylococcaceae
Description: partial 23S ribosomal RNA
Rfam family: Bacterial large subunit ribosomal RNA
Source: RNAcentral
CUAAGGCUAAAUACUCUCUAGUGACCGAUAGUGAACCAGUACCGUGAGGGAAAGGUGAAAAGCACCCCGGAAGGGGAGUGAAAUAGAACCUGAAACCGUGUGCUUACAAGUAGUCAGAGCCCGUUAAUGGGUGAUGGCGUGCCUUUUGUAGAAUGAACCGGCGAGUUACGAUUUGAUGCAAGGUUAAGCAGUAAAUGUGGAGCCGUAGCGAAAGCGAGUCUGAAUAGGGCGUUUAGUAUUUGGUCGUAGACCCGAAACCAGGUGAUCUACCCUUGGUCAGGUUGAAGUUCAGGUAACACUGAAUGGAGGACCGAACCGACUUACGUUGAAAAGUGAGCGGAUGAACUGAGGGUAGCGGAGAAAUUCCAAUCGAACCUGGAGAUAGCUGGUUCUCUCCGAAAUAGCUUUAGGGCUAGCCUCAAGUGAUGAUUAUUGGAGGUAGAGCACUGUUUGGACGAGGGGCCCCUCUCGGGUUACCGAAUUCAGACAAACUCCGAAUGCCAAUUAAUUUAACUUGGGAGUCAGAACAUGGGUGAUAAGGUCCGUGUUCGAAAGGGAAACAGCCCAGACCACCAGCUAAGGUCCCAAAAUAUAUGUUAAGUGGAAAAGGAUGUGGCGUUGCCCAGACAACUAGGAUGUUGGCUUAGAAGCAGCCAUCAUUUAAAGAGUGCGUAAUAGCUCACUAGUCGAGUGACACUGCGCCGAAAAUGUACCGGGGCUAAACAUAUUACCGAAGCUGUGGAUUGUCCUUUGGACAAUGGUAGGAGAGCGUUCUAAGGGCGUUGAAGCAUGAUCGUAAGGACAUGUGGAGCGCUUAGAAGUGAGAAUGCCGGUGUGAGUAGCGAAAGACGGGUGAGAAUCCCGUCCACCGAUUGACUAAGGUUUCCAGAGGAAGGCUCGUCCGCUCUGGGUUAGUCGGGUCCUAAGCUGAGGCCGACAGGCGUAGGCGAUGGAUAACAGGUUGAUAUUCCUGUACCACCUAUAAUCGUUUUA